Molecule: ribosomal RNA, 366 nt
Filed under: uncultured bacterium
Lineage: Bacteria
Description: partial 16S ribosomal RNA
Rfam family: Bacterial small subunit ribosomal RNA
Source: RNAcentral
CCUACGGGUGGCAGCAGUGGGGAAUAUUGCACAAUGGAGGGAACUCUGAAGCAGCGACGCCGCGUGAGUGAAGAAGUAAUUCGUUAUGUAAAGCUCCAUCAGCAGGGAAGACAGUGACGGUACCUGAAAAAGAAGCUCCGGCUAAAUACGUGCCAGCAGCCGCGGUAAUCCGUAUGGCGCAUGCGUUAUCAGGAUUUACUGGGUGUAAAGGGAGAGUAGGUGGGAGAGCAAGUCAGAAGUGAAAACCCAAGGCUCAACUAUGGGACUGCUUUAGAAACUGCACAGCGAGAGUGCAGGAGAGGCAAGUGGAAUUCUUGGUGUAGCGGUGAAAUGCGUAGAUAUUAGGAGGAACACCAGUGGCGAAGG